Sinocyclocheilus rhinocerous is the source of this 408-nucleotide non-coding RNA. The record is from the annotation of a RefSeq genome assembly. NCBI's taxonomy places the organism in Eukaryota, Metazoa, Chordata, Actinopteri, Cypriniformes, Cyprinidae.
AUGACAGUAGAGCCGACAACAACUAUGUUUUCCAUCAUUCCCAUCUGCAUAUUGGCCAUUGGUAUUCAAGGUUCAAAUGGACAAGUGACAGCAACUCAAACUCCUCAAGUCCUAACUUCUCAACGUGAUGAAACUGUCAAAAUAAACUGCAAAACCAACUCGCCUGUUGCUGACUGUAGUCUCUGGAGGAACUGUGUGUUCUGGUACCAGCACAAACCUGGGCACGCUCCCAAACUCCUCAUUUAUUGCAUACGCGAACGGCACUCUAACGUCCCAUCUAGAUUCAGCGGCAAUGGCGCUCACACUGACUUCAGUCUGACCAUCAGUGGAGUCCAGAAAGAAGAUGAAGCGCAAUAUUACUGUAUGACCCGACACAAGAUUGACAACAAGUAUGUGUUCACACAGUGA